GCACGCACGGCACGCACGACUGAAGGCUUGUUUCCAAUCUUCCCGGAAGCUGAAUACCAACCAAAACAGAUUGAUCUGAAAGGCAGGAUGCCAUCCCAGCUGGCUUCCUAACUCUCCCGCUUCACAAACAUGGAAGAAAAUAUCUCUGUUCAACUCUAGGAAAGAAGCCAGUCUCCCCUCUACCUUGGAGGAUUCCCACUGUGAAUCUGGAUAGGGUGUUAUUUAUUGUAUUGGCUUUUGCUGUUUUGAUGAGCAACUAGCGGAGAAGGAAUGCACUCUCCAUAUACCUUGCCUCCAAGCUGAGAGGACAGAAAGAAUCAGGUCUGGCCAUCUGCCUAGCAUGGACACGUGGAAUCACGGGGCCUGAGUGCUAUGGAGUGCGUGCGUGCUGAGUCUUUGCAAGGCCCAGAAGCACUAGCCAGUAGAUCUCCAUGAAAUGGUUCCCCAGUGGCUGAAAAGAAUUAUUGAGGCUUUCUACAGUGAGUCAUUCCCUCCCCGGGGUCGUCUGGGCUCAGGGAAAACCUGUCUUGCUGAUUAUGAGUGAUUUAAUGGCAGUGGAGAUGGACUUCUGAGAACUUAGAGGUCCGCUUCAGCUUUCCUGGCAAAGGAUCUUUCUGUCCUCUAAAUGUGCCACUUGAUGGACAAUUUGCUGUGACACUAACAAGAAAAUGACGAGUGUUCAAAGGUGACGACUCAUCUUCCCUAAUGAGACUUAAGAGUCACAACUUCAACACAAUGAAUGAAGACUAUAGACCACAGGCACAUCUUCUAGCCCAAGCCAGAAGAGGCAGUGAGUGGUGACAGAGCUGGGGAUCGAACCCAGGGCCUUGCGCUUCCUAGGCAAGCGCUCUACCACUGAGGUAAAUCCCCAACCCCAUUCCUUGGCCAUUUUGAGUGUUCCUUUGCGUGUUCAUCACAAUACAAUCAGACCAUCCUGUA
Molecule: non-coding RNA, 939 nt
Organism: Rattus norvegicus (Norway rat)
Lineage: Eukaryota; Metazoa; Chordata; Mammalia; Rodentia; Muridae
Source: RefSeq, a predicted model, not a curated record